GGGGAAGGGUGAGAACCUUCGAUUAAGGUUCGACUCGAGCGAAAGCGAGAGAAUGUUGCCAACGGCAACGGCCCGUAGGGUGAGGAGCGAAGCGACGAAUAAUCCUUCCCCCACCACCA
RNAcentral lists this small RNA (119 nucleotides) under Salmonella enterica subsp. enterica serovar Senftenberg. RNAcentral's name for it is "RtT sRNA". It matches the Rfam family "RtT RNA". From Rfam's summary of the family: This family represents a bacterial cis-regulatory element known as RtT RNA. RNAcentral also lists the same sequence under 2 other names. Lineage: Bacteria; Pseudomonadati; Pseudomonadota; Gammaproteobacteria; Enterobacterales; Enterobacteriaceae. The record is from RNAcentral.